UGUGAAACUGCGAAUGGCUCAUUAAAUCAGUUAUAGUUUACUUGAUGGUACCCAUACUCGGAUAACUGUACCAAUUGUAGAGCUAAUACGUGCACCAAGUCCCGACUUCUGGAAGGGAUGUAUUUAUUAGAUACAAAGCCAAUGCGGACUUUGGUCCGGUACAGCGGCGAGUCAUGAUAACUGCUCGAAUCGCAUGGCCCUAGUGCCGGCGAUGGUUCAUUCAAAUUUCUGCCCUAUCAACUUUCGAUGGUAGGGUAUUGGCCUACCAUGGUUACAACGGGUAACGGAGAAUUAGGGUUCGAUUCCGGAGAGGGAGCCUGAGAAACGGCUACCACAUCCAAGGAAGGCAGCAGGCGCGCAAAUUACCCAAUCCCGACUCGGGGAGGUAGUGACAAUAAAUAACAAUGCUGGGCUUUUUUGGUCUGGCAAUUGGAAUGAGAACAAUAUAAAUCCCUUAACGAGGAACAAUUGGAGGGCAAGUCUGGUGCCAGCAGCCGCGGUAAUUCCAGCUCCAAUAGCGUAUAUUAAAGUUGUUGCAGUUAAAAAGCUCGUAGUUGGGUUUCGGAGCGGUCAGGCUGGUCCGCCGAGAGGCGAGUACUGGCCGGCCACUCUUCCUCUCGGAGUCCCUGUCUGCUCUUUAUUGCAGUGGGCAGGGAAUUCGGGACGUUUACUUUGAAAAAAUUAGAGUGUUCAAAGCAGGCGAUUGCUUGAAUACAUUAGCAUGGAAUAAUGGAAUAGGACCUCGGUCCUAUUUCGUUGGUUUCCA
RNAcentral lists this ribosomal RNA (766 nucleotides) under Ircinia sp. ARY-004. RNAcentral's name for it is "SSU rRNA". It matches the Rfam family "Eukaryotic small subunit ribosomal RNA", at positions 80 to 853 of the family's 1831-position model. Lineage: Eukaryota; Metazoa; Porifera; Demospongiae; Dictyoceratida; Irciniidae. The record is from RNAcentral.